This is a long non-coding RNA of Nilaparvata lugens (brown planthopper), 381 nucleotides long. RefSeq lists it as uncharacterized. The transcript has 4 exons. NCBI's taxonomy places the organism in Eukaryota, Metazoa, Arthropoda, Insecta, Hemiptera, Delphacidae. The record is from RefSeq and is a predicted model, not a curated record.
UUAUAUUGUUUUUUAUACGCUAGUAUAUCGACCCUCAAACGUUAUAUAUGGCUAAGCUAGUUUGUUCAUAUAUUUUCAACAAGUAUAUUUUUCUUUGUAGUUUAAAUAAAUAAAUAUUCGGGCUUAUUUGACCUAGAAACGAAAGCAUAAAAAUGAAAAAUUUAAUAAUAUAUUAUUCCUUUGAUCGAUGUUUAGUUGAACUGCCUUCUCAAUUUGCUACUUGUUAAUGAGCUAGCCUUGGUUUGUUUCGGGGUUAUGUUUUCAUUUCGAAACUAACCUUCAAAUAUAACUUUACUGUUCUAAUCCAUCGGCAUAUAAACAUAUAUGGUUUUUUCCAUUGACUAAUUUUUUGGAAGGCAUACAAUUACAGAUUUAUUUAUU